GAUGAACGCUGGCGGCGUGCCUAAUACAUGCAAGUCGAGCGAAGGGGGGGCGAGUGAGUAACACGUGUAUACCCUCCGAUAAGACUGGGAUACCUUCGUGGACCCUGAGCUCAACCCGAUACUUCUAGAUAUAUCUUCGCUGCAUUAGCUAGUGGGUAGGGUAAAGGCUUACCAAGUCGACGAUGCAUAGCCGACCUGAGAGGGUGAUCGGCCACACUGGAACUGAUACACGUUCCAGACUCCGACGGGAGGCAGCAGUAGGGAAUCUUCAACAAUGGGCGAAAGCCUGACGGAGCAACGCCGCGUGAGUGAAGAAGGUCGUCGGAUCGUAAAGCUCUGUUAUUGGGGAAGCGGUACCUAACCAGAAAGCCACGGCUAACUUCGUGCCAGCAGCCGCGGUAAUUC
This 405-nucleotide ribosomal RNA is filed under the name uncultured bacterium. RNAcentral describes it as "partial 16S ribosomal RNA". It matches the Rfam family "Bacterial small subunit ribosomal RNA", at positions 28 to 526 of the family's 1533-position model. The record is from RNAcentral.